UACGUAGGUGGCAAGCGUUGUCCGGAUUUAUUGGGCGUAAAGCGAGUGCAGGCGGUUUCUUAAGUCUGAUGUGAAAGCCCCCGGCUCAACCGGGGAGGGGCAUUGGAAACUGGGGAACUUGAGUGCAGAAGAGGAGAGUGGAAUUCCAUGUGUAGCGGUGAAAUGCGUAGAGAUAUGGAGGAACACCAGUGGCGAAGGCGACGCUCUGGUCUGUAACUGACGCUGAGGCUCGAAAGCGUGGGUAGCAAACAGG
Molecule: ribosomal RNA, 253 nt
Filed under: uncultured bacterium
Lineage: Bacteria
Description: partial 16S ribosomal RNA
Rfam family: Bacterial small subunit ribosomal RNA
Source: RNAcentral